CUUCGUCGUACCUUCGUCCGACUAAAAACGCAAAAAAAAAAAAUAGAAAAAAAAUCGCAUAAUAUUUAUUAUUAUGAUUCUUGAUAAAUUACCUUUAUUCCCCACUUCCCCCUUGCGUAUACGCGUAAUAUUAUGUUAGUAUACGGAAAAUAAUUCGCAUUAAAAUUCACUUAGUACUUACCGCCGAAAUACGAGAGAAAAAAAAAAACAACUAAACAGUUAAAUAUUAUUAUAUAUAUAACACAUGAUUAAUAAUACGGAG
Non-coding RNA from Cinara cedri, 262 nucleotides. The record is from the annotation of a GenBank genome assembly. NCBI's taxonomy places the organism in Eukaryota, Metazoa, Arthropoda, Insecta, Hemiptera, Aphididae.